Molecule: ribosomal RNA, 429 nt
Filed under: Gemmatimonadota bacterium
Lineage: Bacteria; Pseudomonadati; Gemmatimonadota
Description: Gemmatimonadetes bacterium partial 16S ribosomal RNA
Rfam family: Bacterial small subunit ribosomal RNA
Source: RNAcentral
UAGGGAAUCUUCGGCAAUGGACGAAAGUCUGACCGAGCAACGCCGCGUGAGUGAAGAAGGUUUUCGGAUCGUAAAACUCUGUUGUUAGAGAAGAACAAGGACGUUAGUAACUGAACGUCCCCUGACGGUAUCUAACCAGAAAGCCACGGCUAACUACGUGCCAGCAGCCGCGGUAAUACGUAGGUGGCAAGCGUUGUCCCGAUUUAUUGGGCGUAAAGCGAGCGCAGGCGGUUUCUUAAGUCUGAUGUGAAAGCCCCCGGCUCAACCGGGGAGGGUCAUUGGAAACUGGGAGACUUGAGGGCAGAAGAGGAGAGUGGAAUUGCAUGUGUAGCGGUGAAAUGCGUAGAUAUAUGGAGGAACACCAGUGGCGAAGGCGGCUCUAUGGUCUGUAACUGACGCUGAGGCUAGAAAGCGUGGGGAGCAAACAGG